This 485-nucleotide ribosomal RNA is filed under the name uncultured bacterium. RNAcentral describes it as "partial 16S ribosomal RNA". It matches the Rfam family "Bacterial small subunit ribosomal RNA", at positions 28 to 507 of the family's 1533-position model. The record is from RNAcentral.
GAUGAACGCUAGCUACAGGCUUAACACAUGCAAGUCGAGGGGCAGCAUGACCUAGCAAUAGGUUGAUGGCGACCGGCGCACGGGUGAGUAACACGUAUCCAACCUGCCGAUUAUUCCGGGAUAGCCUUUCGAAAGAAAGAUUAAUACUGGAUAGCAUAACGAGAAGGCAUCUUCUUGUUAUUAAAGAAUUUCGAUAAUCGAUGGGGAUGCGUUCCAUUAGUUUGUUGGCGGGGUAACGGCCCACCAAGACAUCGAUGGAUAGGGGUUCUGAGAGGAAGGUCCCCCACAUUGGAACUGAGACACGGUCCAAACUCCUACGGGAGGCAGCAGUGAGGAAUAUUGGUCAAUGGACGAGAGUCUGAACCAGCCAAGUAGCGUGAAGGAGGACUGCCCUAUGGGUGGUAAACUUCUUUUAUAUGGGAAUAAAGUGGGCCACGUGUGGCUUUUUGUAUGUACCAUACGAAUAAGGAUCGGCUAACUCCGUG